This 425-nucleotide ribosomal RNA is filed under the name uncultured bacterium. RNAcentral's name for it is "partial 16S ribosomal RNA". It matches the Rfam family "Bacterial small subunit ribosomal RNA", at positions 354 to 796 of the family's 1533-position model. The record is from RNAcentral.
GUGGGGAAUCUUAGACAAUGGGGGAAACCCUGAUCUAGCCAUGCCGCGUGAGCGAUGAAGGCCUUAGGGUUGUAAAGCUCUUUCAGCUGGGAAGAUAAUGACUGUACCAGCAGAAGAAGCCCCGGCUAACUCCGUGCCAGCAGCCGCGGUAAUACGGAGGGGGCUAGCGUUGUUUGGAAUUACUGGGCGUAAAGCGCACGUAGGCGGACCGGAAAGUCAGAGGUGAAAUCCCAGGGCUCAACCUUGGAACUGCCUUUGAAACUCCUGGUCUUGAGGUCGGGAGAGGUGAGUGGAAUUCCGAGUGUAGAGGUGAAAUUCGUAGAUAUUCGGAGGAACACCAGUGGCGAAGGCGGCUCACUGGCUCGAUACUGACGCUGAGGUGCGAAAGCGUGGGGAGCAAACAGGAUUAGAUACCCUAGUAGUCC